Molecule: long non-coding RNA, 5046 nt
Filed under: Podarcis lilfordi (Lilford's wall lizard)
Lineage: Eukaryota; Metazoa; Chordata; Lepidosauria; Squamata; Lacertidae
Source: RNAcentral
UCUAAGAUUAAUGAUUCAAUACAGCAGCUAUCUACAAAAGUGGGUGAGACGAACUGUAAGGUUGAAGAGACCAAUCAGAAAGUGGAUAUUGCAAACAGGAAAAUUGACCUAAAUACAGAAACAUUAGGUAAUCUGGAGAAAAAAGUAAAUAGCAAUACGGAAUCUAUUCAGAAACUGCUGCAAGACUCAAAGUCUAUACAGGAAAAAACUGCUGCUGUAGAGUUCAAAUUGGGGCAGUUGGAAACUGAAAAAGUACCAGACUUACAGAAAGAGAUUGCAGAACAUAAGUUAACGUUAUCUAUGAUUGACCUCAAAGACAAACAAACGAAUCUUAGAAUCAGAGCUGUUCCUGAGUUGGAGAAAGGUACUUUGAUAGACUUUUUGACACAAGAAUUUCUGGACUUUUGGAAAUCGGAAUUGAAACAAGAGGAUUUUAAGAUUGUGAGGGCCUUUCGACUGGGGAAAGGAGGAAGAAAGAUUAAAAUAAGGGACUGUUUGAUUACUCUUCGAUCUAAGGAAGAAAGGGACAAAAUUUUGGGUUUACAUUACGAAAAACCCUUGACAAUUAUACAAUCAAAAGUUGAAAUUUUUAAAGAUAUACCAAAACAUCUUCUUGAUUUAAGAAAGGACUUUGGAGACCUGGUGGACUUGUUGAGAAAAAAUAAAAUUCUCUUUAGGUGGGAAUUUCCCCAAGGUCUAUCCUUUAGCUUUAAAGGAAGAAAGACCAAGAUCAGAUCAGUGGAGGAAAAGAACAAGUUUCUGAGUGCAUACGAAGAAGACCUACUGAAAGGAUUGGGAAAAGACAUCGCGAUACCGGACAAGAGUCUGCAAAAAAAAGGGAAACCAACGCCACCGACAGACAUAGACAACCUUCUUGGGGCUGCUGGAGGAGAAGGAGAGUAGUUACAAAAUGACACUACAAAUUUUAAGCUGGAAUAUUAAUGGCCUAAAUUCGUCGGCUAAAAGGGGAAGAGUAUUUCAUACAUUGAAAAAAGAACAUUUGGACUUGAUCUGUUUACAAGAGACUCAUGUGACAAGGCUACAUCGGAAAAUUUUGACAAAUAAAAGAUUGGGAGAGGAAUUCAUCUCAUCGGACAAUGUUAAAAAAAGAGGGGUAGUACUUUAUGCGAAGGAAAGCCUGUCACCAAAAUUUAUAUUUAAAGAUGAUCAAGGAAGAUAUAUAGCAAUUGAAAUUCAAUUCCAAGGACAGAAAUUUUUGAUAAUAGGUGUAUACGCACCAAAUGAGGGAAAAUCAGAAUUCUUCAAGAAAUUGCAUGAAACUCUCCUGGACUAUUUGGAUUACAAUAUUAUUUUGAUGGGAGACAUGAAUGGAGUAGUGUCUACAAAUAUGGACAAAGCCCAAAGACAAACAGUGACAAAAGAUGGAAGAUUACCAAAGACAUUUUUGAAAUGACUGACAAUAUGGAUCUUGUGGAUAUUUGGCGAACAAAGAACCCCUUGGAAAGAGAAGGAACCUUCUUCUCUGAAGCAAAUAUGACAUGGACAAGAAUAGACCAAAUCUGGAUAACUAGAGGACUGGCUCCUAAAAUUAAAAAAGCAGUGAUUUGCCCGAAAAUCUGCUCUGAUCACAAUCCAGUAAAGAUUGAAAUGAUAUCAACGCCAAUUGGGGCCUUUAGAUGGAGGAUGAAUGACUCCUUAUUCAGGAAUGAGGAAAUUAUUAAAAAGGCUCAAAAAAAUUUGAGAGACUAUUUUGAAAUAAAUUUGAAUACUACGACAGAAAAAAAGAGUGAUUUGGGAUGCCAGUAAAGCGGUGAUGAGAGGAUUCUUGAUACAACAAAACGCAAUUAGGAAAAGAUAUCAAAAUAAGAAGAGAGAAAAAUUUUGGAGAAAAUAAAGGAUGGAGAAAAAGACUGAGAGCGAAACCGAACUCACAGGAGAUUUUAAAAGAGAUAAAGCUAUACCAAGUACAAUAUAUGAAAUUGAUGAAUCAGGAGAUAGAAUGGAAGAUUAAACAGAUGAAACAAAAGACUUUCGAAUCGGCAAAUAAAUGUGGGAAGUUACUGGCCUGGCAAAUGAAAAAAAGACAAAAGCUGAAUACAAUCACGAACUUGGUUGUAGAAGGAAAGAAUAUACAGAACCCUGGAGAGAUUCGGAAGUGCUUUCAGAAUUAUUUCAAACAGUUAUAUACGCAGGAGACUCAGAAAGAUCUAGACAUUGACCGAUUUUUGGAAAAUAAUGGAUUACAAAAAUAUCUCAAGACAGUAAAUCAACAUUAAACUCGACAAUAUCUGACCAAGAAGUGGAAGGAGCCAUUCAGAAUAUGAAAUUGGGCAAAUCUCCAGGGCCGGAUGGAUUAACUGCAAAGUACUACAAAACUUUGAAAGAAUGGUUAUUGCAACCGUUGAAAGAACUUUGUAAUGAAAUACUACGGGGAGGAAAAGCACCCGAGUCGUGGAAAGAAGCAUACAUUACACUUAUACCAAAAACCGAAGGGGAGAAGACACAGUUGAAGAACUACCGUCCCAUAUCCCUAUUAAAUGUGGAUUACAAAAUUUUUGCUGAAAUUAUGGCUAAGAGAUUAAAAAACGUAUUGGUAAAAGAGAUUCAUAAAGACCAGGCGGGCUUUCUACCUGGGAGACAUUUGUCAGACAAUACUAGGAACAUCAUUAACAUUUUGGAAAAAUUGCAAGUCAACAUUAAUACUAAAGCUGUUUUAAUAUUUGUAGAUGCAGAGAAAGCGUUUGAUAAUAUUUCUUGGAGCUUUAUGAAGAAAAAUCUGCAGGGGAUGGGGGUAGGCCAAAGUUUCGAAAAUGGUAUAGGUGCAAUUUAUUCGGAACAAAAAGCUAAGCUUAUUGUGAACAAUGUAGUUACAGAAGAAUUUAAGAUAGAGAAAGGAACAAGACAGGGCUGCCCAAUCUCCCCAUUGCUUUUUAUAUCGGUCCUCGAGGUUUUGCUCAAUAUGAUUAGAAAAGACCAAUUGGUUAAAGGUAUACAACUCGGAGCUAAACAGUACAAAUUGAAAGCUUUUGCUGAUGAUUUAGUCUUGACAGUACAGGAGCCAGAAGCUAGUACAAAAGAGUGUUACAAUUAAUACAAGAAUUUGGUCAAGUAGCUGGUUUUAAAUUAAACAAGAUGAAAACCAAGGUAUUAGAGAAAAAUCUUACAGAGAUAGAGAAGGAGAGGUUUCAGAAAGAGACAGGAUUAACAAUUGUUAACAAAGUGAAAUAUCUAGGGGUGAAUAUGACUGCCAAAAAUGUGAAUCUGUUUAAAGAUAAUUAUGAAAAAUGUUGGUCAGAGGUGAAGAAGGAUUUAGAAAUAUGGUCAAAAUUGAAGUUAUCAUUGCUGGGCCGAAUUGCUGCGAUAAAGAUGAAUGUAUUGCCUAGAAUGUUGUUUUUGUUUCAAACACUACAAAUUGUGGAUAAAAUGGACUGUUUCAAGAGGUGGCAAAGAGAUAUUUCUAAAUUUAUCUGGCAGGGCAAAAAGCCCAGAAUAAAAUUUAAGAUAUUAACAGAUGCAAAGGAAAGAGGGGGAUUUGCCCUGCCAGAUCUUAAACUUUACUAUGAAUCAGCCGCUUUUUGUUGGCUGAAAGAUUGGCUACUUCUUGAAAAUGUGGACAUUUUAGAUUUAGAAGGUUUCGAUAAUGUGUUUGGGUGGCAUGCAUAUUUAUGGUAUGACAAAGUUAAAGCGCAUAAGGCCUUCAAGAAUCAUAUUGUCAGGAAAGCAUUAUUUAAUGUUUGGGUGAGAUAUAAGGAUUUGUUGGAAAGUAAAACACCAAGGUGGCUGUCACCAAUGGAGGCUAAGGCUUUGAAAAAAACAAACAUGGAGACAAAUUGGCCAAAAUAUUGCGAAAUUUUAGAACAAGUCGGAGAUAAAUUAAAAUUGCAGAGCUUUGACAAAUUAAAAACUAAAGUUCGAGAUUGGCUGCAUUAUUAUCAAAUAAGGGAGGUUUUUAACUUAGAUAAAAGAUAGGUUUCCAGGAGGAAAAAUCUAAACUGGAAACGGAAUUGUUAGAACCUAAAACCAAAAAUUUGUCAAGAAUGUAUAAUCUGCUGUUGAAAUGGAAUACACAGGAUGAAAUGGUUAAAUCUGCUAUGAUUAAAUGGGCGCAAGAUGUGGGGCAUAAUAUUAUGUUUGCUGACUGGGAACGGUUAUGGACCACAGGUAUGAAAUUUACGGCCUGUAACGCCUUAAGAGAAAACAUAAUGAAAAUGAUAUACAGGUGGUACUUAACCCCAGUCAAGCUAGCAAAAAUUUAUCAUCUGCCUGAUAAUAAAUGUUGGAAAUGUAAAGAAAAUGAAGGUACUUUUUCCACCUUUGGUGGACGUGCCCAAAGAUCAAGGCCUUCUGGGAAAUGAUAUAUAAUGAACUAAAAAAGGUAUUGAAAUAUACUUUCUUGAAGAAACCAGAGGCCUUCCUCUUGGGCAUGGUCGGCCAAUUGGUGCGAAGGGAAGACAGGAAUUUCUUUAUGUAUGCGACAGCAGCGGCAAGAAUACUCAUUGGGAAAUACUGGAAGACACAAGAAUUGCCUACCCGAGAAGAAUGGCAGAGAAAAGUGAUAGACUAUAUGGAACUGGCUGAGAUGACCGGCAGAAUACGAGACCAAGAAGAAGGGUCGAUGGAAGAAGAUUGGAAAAAAUUUAAAACAUAUCUUCAGAAAUACUGUAAUAUAAAAGAAUGCUAGAAAAGGUUGGAGAAGAACAUUAGACCGUAUUGGCAGACAGAGUAUAAUGGAAUAAGUAAAUAUGUAGUGUAAAAUAAAAAAUAGAGGAGAAUUAAAUAUUUUUGAAUGUUAAAUUAAGUAAAUGAAAAGAAGGUUAGAAGGGUUUGCUGGAGAUACGACUUAAAUUAGAAUACAAAGCAGAGAAGUGAGAGGAAGUCUUGGAAAUAAGUAAAUGGGAAAAUGAUCUUAAUGGUUUAAUUUGAUUUUUUGUUAUUUUUGUAUUGUGAUUUUUUGUCUUUUGUAUUUUUUUCUGUAUCGUGUGUUGUUCUUUUUUUUGUAGGGUGUAUGUGAUUUGUUUUUCUUUUUUUGCUUUUUUCUUUCUAUGUAAUCUUAAAAUUGGAAUAAAUAUUCUUUAAAAAAAAAAA